Molecule: ribosomal RNA, 243 nt
Filed under: uncultured bacterium
Lineage: Bacteria
Description: partial 16S ribosomal RNA
Rfam family: Bacterial small subunit ribosomal RNA
Source: RNAcentral
GCAAGCGUUGUCCGGAUUUAUUGGGCGUAAAGAGCGUGUAGGCGGUUUGGUAGGUCCGCUGUGAAAACUCGAGGCUCAACCUCGAGACGCCGGUGGAAACCAUCAGGCUAGAGUCCGGAAGAGGAGAGUGGAAUUCCUGGUGUAGCGGUGAAAUGCGCAGAUAUCAGGAAGAACACCCGUGGCUAAGGCGGCUCUCUAGUACGGUACUGACGCUGAGACGCGAAAGCGUGGGGAGCGAACAGG